Molecule: ribosomal RNA, 496 nt
Filed under: uncultured bacterium
Lineage: Bacteria
Description: partial 16S ribosomal RNA
Rfam family: Bacterial small subunit ribosomal RNA
Source: RNAcentral
GAUGAACGCUGGCGGCGUGCCUAAUACAUGCAAGUCGAGCGAACAGACGAGGAGCUUGCUCCUCUGACGUUAGCGGCGGACGGGUGAGUAACACGUGGAUAACCUACCUAUAAGACUGGGAUAACUUCGGGAAACCGGAGCUAAUACCGGAUAAUAUAUUGAACCGCAUGGUUCAAUAGUGAAAGACGGUUUUGCUGUCACUUAUAGAUGGAUCCGCGCCGCAUUAGCUAGUUGGUAAGGUAACGGCUUACCAAGGCAACGAUGCGUAGCCGACCUGAGAGGGGGAUGGGCAAAACUGGAACUGAGACAGGGCCCAGACCCCGAGGGGAGGCAGCAGAAGGGAAUUCUCCGCAAGGGGCGAAAGCCUGACGGAGAAACGGCGGGGGAGUGAUAAAGGUCUUCGGAACGUAAAACUUUUUUAUGGGGGAAAAAAAAAGGGGAAAGUAACUAUGCAGGUCUUGACGGUACCAAAUCAGAAAACCAGGGCUAACUACGU